AUCGCCGGAAAAUCCGUCCGGGGGGUCUAAGGGAUGUCGGGCCUGCCAUCCGUGGGCCGGUAGCUCAGCCUGGGAGAGCGUCGGCUUUGCAAGCCGAAGGCCCCGGGUUCGAAUCCCGGCCGGUCCACCACGAAGAGGUGCACAUCCCAAGCGAAGCUUGGGGUGGAAGGGUCCUAGGCCCCGAACAGGGGUCACGAUGAGGACCGUGCACAGGCCGAUUGACCCAAAAAAUGCCCAGCCCCCUGAGUAGG
Molecule: transfer RNA, 251 nt
Filed under: Thermococcus thioreducens
Lineage: Archaea; Methanobacteriati; Methanobacteriota; Thermococci; Thermococcales; Thermococcaceae
Description: intergenic spacer
Rfam family: tRNA (bases 54-127)
Source: RNAcentral